CAUUGAAAUAAAAAAAAAAAAAAUGAGCUAUAUCUAUACAGCACUAUAUAAAAAAAAACAGGUUACAAGUUCAAUAGUCAACACAGGCCAAUGCUAAGUUCUAUCGAAACAAUAUAGUGACUGGCUUUUAUCAAUUCAAUAGACAGCACACACAGGCCAUUGCUAAGUUCUAUACAAACAAUAUACUGACUGGUUUUUAUCAGUUCAAUAGACUACGCCUGACUGGCCAUUGCUCAGCGCAACACACCCACAGUCUAUUGCUAACUUCAAGAAACAACUUCCUGUCUGGCUACUUAGCAAUCUAUAGAAAAUAUCACGACUGGCCAGUUAGCACUACAACAGACAACAUCCCUGACUGUCCUUUAACCAGUUCGGUAGGCAACAUAAUCACAGGCCAUGGCUAAGUUCAAGAGUUAACAUACUAUCUAGUCAACCUUUAAAAAAAAGGGCACAUAGAACUACCCCACAUAUUAACGAGUUUGAUGCUUUAUCUACCAUAAUAUUAUGAAUUUUAAAGAAAAGUAAAGUAAAAAAAAAUGAAUACCACAAAAGAAUACAGUUCAAUGAUAGACUAUAUCGAAGUGGGAUAACUUUGUCGUAUGUUUGGAAUCCAAGCAUUAGACUUUGGAAAUACUGAAAAACCUUGUGAAACAUUUCUGUGGUUCCAAUCUGAUGCAUAUGGCCUACAUCUCGAUCUGCUAGAGUAAAUCUAUUUCACCACAGGUAUCCUAAUGUAGGUCAGUGUCUCACUCGACGUUUCCCAAAUCACACUACUAGUGUCACUAGUUUCAUUAAAUAGACCUAUGUCUCAUGUCUUUCCUGAGUAGAUGGGCCGGUCCUAGCAAUAGGGGGGCCCUAUGUGAAAAGGAUUGUGCAGGGCUCAGUCUAGGUGGGGAAAAGCAUAAUGUCAAAAUACAGAUUUUGUAUUAAAAAUACAUUCAUCUUUACAAUAAAUUUUUACUAAAUGAAAGCUGACAGUGUUGUUUUUUUAUCGCGCGUAUUGGCACCAUAAAAUGAAACUUUUGUCUAUUUUUGAGGAGUUUUUUUA
This is a non-coding RNA of Biomphalaria pfeifferi, 1048 nucleotides long. The record is from the annotation of a GenBank genome assembly. NCBI's taxonomy places the organism in Eukaryota, Metazoa, Mollusca, Gastropoda, Planorbidae.